RNA transcript from Physella acuta, 3178 nucleotides. It is a transcript of the gene named golgin subfamily A member 5, with no coding region annotated. The record is from RefSeq and is a predicted model, not a curated record. Lineage: Eukaryota; Metazoa; Mollusca; Gastropoda; Physidae.
AAGCACUUUAUUUUUUCUGAAAGCAUGUGAUUAGAAUGUAGGUAAAGUGAUGUGAUAAAAACAGUGGAAAGUUCACCAUGUCCUGGCUUUCAGCUGUCACUGGAAAAGCUGAGGAUUUUUUGAAUAAACUUGAUCGAUCAGCUGCUGAUGUGCUACAUGCGGAUGAGACCAAACCAAAGGAGAAGCCAAAACCUCCUCCUGAGCCAACGCUUAUUGAAUCCACAGCUGAUACUGCUAAUGUAACAUCUUUAUCACCUUCACUCAGUGUACCAGCUCGCUUGUACAGCUUAAAAAAUGAAGCUGAUCGCACAGAAAUAACAGGAAAAGGCACAAACUUUCCACCCAAUCCUUUAGCAUCUGUACAAUCUUCUGGCAAAACAGUAAAAAAGAAAAAUUCUGAUGAGGCGUUGUUUGACUUUUUAAACAGUAAAGAAUCAGAAGCAGGGAAAAAACGUACACCUACAAGCAGCCACCACCAUUCCCGCCAGUCAAGUACUUCUUCCAUUAUUUCAUCCACUUCAAAAGGGGCCAAGUUUGAAACUAUUAUUUCAGAUACCCCAACAACAUCAGCUGCCAAUGUAAAAAUACCAGUCAACACAGAGGAUGAUGGGCCUCAACAAGGAAGUCCAGCCAACUCACACAUAUCUGCAGACUUGGAUGCAAUAGCUGAUGCCAUGAAGGAGAGCCCUGUAGGCAGUGAUCAAAGUGCUCCUGACAGCGAUCAUGCUGACCUAGGACAGGCGCAGAAAGACAGACAGUUAUCUUCCUUGGAGUUGGAAAACAGACUGCUGCGUAAUGAAGUGGCCUCACUUAAUGAUGAGAUGGCUAACGUUAUCACAAGAGCUAAAGAUGCUGAAACAGAACUUAUAAGAGCUAAAGAAAAACUAAAAACUUAUGUAAACUCUGCAACUAUGCAUGAUCAAUUGCUACGAGAACUCCAGUCUCGUGAGCUUGAUCUAACAGAAGCAUUAAAAGCUAAAGAUGCACAGCUUGCUGUACUACGUGUGAGGCUUGAUGAAGCAGAUAAAAGAAUUAUAAGUAAAGAAAAAACUUUGGAAGAAGUUAAGCAUGAGCGGGAAAGAAUUUUAAAAGACCAUACAGAUUCAACAGGCGUCCAUGGCCAAGCAUUGAAUUCUGUGAAGGAUAAACUAGAAGAAGUUGAGGCAUCUUUACGCAGAGAACAAGCUGCAUAUAAGCAAGCUCAGCAAGAGGCAGCACAAAGACAAAGCAGAAUGGAGCUGGAACAAAAAUCAAUGGCAGAUGCCUUAACAGCUGCUGAAAAAAAAGUUGUGGAAGAAAAAGCAAAAAUGACGGAACUUGCUGGUCAAUUGAAGGCUGCAAAAGUUGCAGCUGAAGCAGCGAGGAAGGAACUCACAGAGUACAAAGAUAAAGCCUCUAGAAUAUUGCAGUCAAAAGAAAAGUUGAUAGCCAGCUUGAGGGACGGUUCCAGCAGCCCAUUAGGUGAUGGUGGAGGGGUGUCAACUUUGGAAUAUGAGUCAUUAAGACAAGAGAGAGAUAUGUUAAGAGAAGAACUCCAACAAACUAAACUGACUAUUGACAAUUUAAGAUCUGAAUUACAGGAUGCAGAGAAUCAACUUCAGAUGGACAGCUAUACAGCAGAGGAAACCAUUCGAUCACUUGAAGAUUCUGUUAGAGAAGAAAAAAGAAGAAGAGAAGAUGCAGAGCAGGAGUUGUUGAAACAGAAACAGGAACUUCAAUACACUAUGGAGGAACUGCAUAAACAAAAGGCAACAUUUCAGUCACGCAUCAGUGAUAGAGAAACAGAGAUAGAAAAAUUAAGGAGUCAGCUGAUGACUAAAAGUAUGAGCAGCAGUACAGAAAAUGAACUUGAGUCUCGGUUGCGUUCUCUGACUGAGAGCCUUAUACAAAAACAGACAGUCUUAGAAGCGUUGAGUACAGAAAAAAACUCCCUGGUGUUACAGUUAGAGAGAAUGGAGCAUCAAUACAGAGAGUUGGAAAAUGCAAUGCCACGUGUAGCAACCAGCUCCCAGCUAGUGGCAACAAAUGACCAUGAUGAUGAUGUGAGACAGAGACUGCCAUUAUUUUUACGCGAGGUACCCACAGAUCACGAAGUCACAAGAAGAAUGAAGCGUGCUGCAAAUUCAAUCGAUGGUGUAAGCAUCCGUUUAGGCGUCUUUCUUCGUAGAUAUCCCAUGGCUAGAGUAUUUGUUGUUGUUUAUAUGGCUUUACUUCACUUUUGGGUGUUGGUGGUUAUGAUGACUUACAAACCUGAGAUUCACGAAUUGGAUUACCACCCCAAAGAACCUGUUCCUUAAAUUAAAAAAAGUUUGGGUAUAAUCAUUAAGAACAGAAAAGUUAACAUUUUUGGGAAAAUAAAUUAUAUUAUCUAAGUGAACAAAGUCUUCAUAGUUUCAAAACACUUGUAUAAUGUAAAAUGAAAUUUUGAAAUGUUACAUUAGUUCCUUCUUCAGGUUUACUUUUCAUUUGUUGAGAAAAUAAAAUGAAUAUAUAUUCCUACUUAGCAUUAAAUUUUAAGUAACUCAUAUUUUCCAUUUUAUUUUAUUGUACAUUUUGGAUCUAUAUGGGAUUUCAAGUUCAAUGUUUGUUUUGUUUCAUUUAACUUGAAUUUAGAAUUCAAGCAUUUUGGGGAAAUAUACUUUAGCUGUACAAUAGCUAUUUUUUUAAACAAACAAAAAUCUUUGAUCAAUAAAUAAUACAUUUUUUGGAAAGUGAAAGAGCAUAAAUUAAAAAACAAAAGCACUGGCUUAUUUCUUUAAAAUAAUACCGUUGCUAAAUGAGUGCUAACUUCACACCAUAAGUGGAAAAAAGACCAGUGACUACACUAGUACAAGGUCCACUAUUAUUUAACCAAUCUCAGUUAAAUAUGCUGCACAUAUUUCCCAUUUAAUAAUAAAAUUUUCAUUGUGAUGUAUCAUUUUUAAAAAGGUUUUAUUUAUUUUUUGUACAAAACUUGUUUUUUAAGAAUGAAAGGAAGAGUAAAAUUGUAUUAUUGAUUGUAAAACAUGUUUGAAAGAUAACUCAGUUAUCUUACACAUUGCUUGAAAUUGUUAUUUCAUAGCUCUAUUAUAAAUAAAAACCUGAUGUGUGCUAGUUGAGAUAAUAAAAAUGUCUUAUCAUAUGUGAUCUUGCCUUUAUAUUACAAUAAAUUAUACAGUGGGAUAUUUUCAUUGUUUCA